AACCCCACGUCAGGCUUGGCCACCCGCUGAAUUUAAGCAUUUCAAUAAGCAGAGGAGAAGAAACUUAUGAGGAUUCCCCUAGU
RNAcentral lists this ribosomal RNA (83 nucleotides) under Cinnamomum reticulatum. RNAcentral describes it as "partial 26S ribosomal RNA". It matches the Rfam family "Eukaryotic large subunit ribosomal RNA", at positions 1 to 84 of the family's 3401-position model. The record is from RNAcentral. Lineage: Eukaryota; Viridiplantae; Streptophyta; Magnoliopsida; Laurales; Lauraceae.